AAAGACUGCAAUUUAGAGCAGUAGCAAAGCUUAGCUGUAGCCCAAAACGGCAGAUCGAUACUGAUAGGGCUGGCCGACAUGCAGCAACAGUACCAUCAGGCACUCAUCUCCCGAGUCGUAACAGCUUUAGAAUUGUGGUGUCCGCUGUGAUAAUAAACACAACAAAAUACUCAUGAGUUUUAGUUUCUCAGAUUCUGGAAAGCGGGCACAAACUUGCAAGAUAUCUCGAGAAGAGUCGCUCCCAUCAUUUUUGCUGCAUCAUUACCUUUGCUAGAAUCACCAUCAACAGAUAGGCAGACCUGAAAGGUUUUAUGAUUGUCAAGAUUAUCACCCAACAAGUAGAUUGCUGUAAAUGGAAGAACAU
Molecule: long non-coding RNA, 364 nt
Filed under: Triticum aestivum (bread wheat)
Lineage: Eukaryota; Viridiplantae; Streptophyta; Magnoliopsida; Poales; Poaceae
Description: long non-coding RNA (TAES_LNC002089)
Source: RNAcentral